RNAcentral lists this transfer RNA (74 nucleotides) under Meleagris gallopavo (turkey). RNAcentral's name for it is "tRNA-Met (CAT) (tRNA-Met-CAT-5-1)". It matches the Rfam family "tRNA". Rfam says of the family: Transfer RNA (tRNA) molecules are approximately 80 nucleotides in length. Their secondary structure includes four short double-helical elements and three loops (D, anti-codon, and T loops). Lineage: Eukaryota; Metazoa; Chordata; Aves; Galliformes; Phasianidae. The record is from RNAcentral.
GGUGGGGUAGCUCAGUUGGUUAGAGCGUUGGUCUCAUAAGCCGAAGGUCGUGGGUUCGAUCCCCACUCCCACCA